GCAGCCGCGGUAAUACGUAGGGAGCGAGCGUUAUCCGGAUUUAUUGGGUGUAAAGGGUGCGUAGGCGGUUUGAUAAGUCUGUGGUUUAAUCCCGAAGCUUAACUUCGGUUCGCCACAGAAACUGUCUUACUUGAGUAUGGUAGAGGCAAGUGGAAUUUCUAGUGUAGCGGUUAAAUGCGUAGAUAUUAGAAGGAACACCAGUGGCGAAGGCGACUUGCUGGGCCAUCACUGACGCUGAGGCACGAAAGCGUGGGGAGCAAAUAGGAUUAGAUACCCC
RNAcentral lists this ribosomal RNA (277 nucleotides) under uncultured rumen bacterium. Its description in RNAcentral is "partial 16S ribosomal RNA". It matches the Rfam family "Bacterial small subunit ribosomal RNA", at positions 511 to 788 of the family's 1533-position model. The record is from RNAcentral.